CUACGGAGGGUGCGAGCGUUAAUCGGAAUUACUGGGCGUAAAGCGUACGUAGGCGGUUCGUUAAGUUAGAUGUGAAAGCCCCGGGCUUAACCUGGGAACUGCAUUUAAAACUGGCGAACUAGAGUUAAGUAGAGGAGAGUGGAAUUUCAGGUGUAGCGGUGAAAUGCGUAGAGAUCUGAAGGAACACCAGUGGCGAAGGCGACUCUCUGGACUUAAACUGACGCUGCGGUACGAAAGCGUGGGUAGCAAACGGGAUUAGAAACCCUAGUAGUCC
RNAcentral lists this ribosomal RNA (274 nucleotides) under uncultured bacterium. RNAcentral describes it as "partial 16S ribosomal RNA". It matches the Rfam family "Bacterial small subunit ribosomal RNA", at positions 523 to 796 of the family's 1533-position model. The record is from RNAcentral.